GUCGAACGAACUCUGGUAUUGAUUGGUGCUUGCAUCAUGAUUUACAUUUGAGUGAGUGGCGAACUGGUGAGUAACACGUGGGAAACCUGCCCAGAAGCGGGGGAUAACACCUGGAAACAGAUGCUAAUACCGCAUAACAACUUGGACCGCAUGGUCCGAGUUUGAAAGAUGGCUUCGGCUAUCACUUUUGGAUGGUCCCGCGGCGUAUUAGCUAGAUGGUGGGGUAACGGCUCACCAUGGCAAUGAUACGUAGCCGACCUGAGAGGGUAAUCGGCCACAUUGGGACUGAGACACGGCCCAAACUCCUACGGGAGGCAGCAGUAGGGAAUCUUCCACAAUGGACGAAAGUCUGAUGGAGCAACGCCGCGUGAGUGAAGAAGGGUUUCGGCUCGUAAAACUCUGUUGUUAAAGAAGAACAUAUCUGAGAGUAACUGUUCAGGUAUUGACGGUAUUUAACCAGAAAGCCACGGCUAACUACGUGCCAGCAGCCGCGGUAAUACGUAGGUGGCAAGCGUUGUCCGGAUUUAUUGGGCGUAAAGCGAGCGCAGGCGGUUUUUUAAGUCUGAUGUGAAAGCCUUCGGCUCAACCGAAGAAGUGCAUCGGAAACUGGGAAACUUGAGUGCAGAAGAGGACAGUGGAACUCCAUGUGUAGCGGUGAAAUGCGUAGAUAUAUGGAAGAACACCAGUGGCGAAGGCGGCUGUCUGGUCUGUAACUGACGCUGAGGCUCGAAAGUAUGGGUAGCAAACAGGAUUAGAUACCCUGGUAGUCCAUACCGUAAACGAUGAAUGCUAAGUGUUGGAGGGUUUCCGCCCUUCAGUGCUGCAGCUAACGCAUUAAGCAUUCCGCCUGGGGAGUACGGCCGCAAGGCUGAAACUCAAAGGAAUUGACGGGGGCCCGCACAAGCGGUGGAGCAUGUGGUUUAAUUCGAAGCUACGCGAAGAACCUUACCAGGUCUUGACAUACUAUGCAAAUCUAAGAGAUUAGACGUUCCCUUCGGGGACAUGGAUACAGGUGGUGCAUGGUUGUCGUCAGUUCGUGUCGUGAGAUGUUGGGUUAAGUCCCGCAACGAGCGCAACCCUUAUUAUCAGUUGCCAGCAUUAAGUUGGGCACUCUGGUGAGACUGCCGGUGACAAACCGGAGGAAGGUGGGGAUGACGUCAAAUCAUCAUGCCCCUUAUGACCUGGGCUACACACGUGCUACAAUGGAUGGUACAACGAGUUGCGAACUCGCGAGAGUAAGCUAAUCUCUUAAAGCCAUUCUCAGUUCGGAUUGUAGGCUGCAACUCGCCUACAUGAAGUCGGAAUCGCUAGUAAUCGCGGAUCAGCAUGCCGCGGUGAAUACGUUCCCGGGCCUUGUACACACCGCCCGUCACACCAUGAGAGUUUGUAACACCCAAAGUCGGUGGGGUAA
RNAcentral lists this ribosomal RNA (1411 nucleotides) under Lactiplantibacillus plantarum. RNAcentral describes it as "bacterial SSU rRNA". It matches the Rfam family "Bacterial small subunit ribosomal RNA", at positions 61 to 1438 of the family's 1533-position model. Lineage: Bacteria; Bacillati; Bacillota; Bacilli; Lactobacillales; Lactobacillaceae. The record is from RNAcentral.